GAUUACACAAAGACCUUAUCCUCUCUGUAGUCGCGGCUG
Molecule: non-coding RNA, 39 nt
Organism: Parabacteroides merdae CAG:48
Lineage: Bacteria; Pseudomonadati; Bacteroidota; Bacteroidia; Bacteroidales; Tannerellaceae
Source: Rfam